This 52-nucleotide transfer RNA is filed under the name Melibe leonina. RNAcentral's name for it is "tRNA-Ser". The record is from RNAcentral. Lineage: Eukaryota; Metazoa; Mollusca; Gastropoda; Nudibranchia; Dendronotidae.
UGGAAUUCUAAUAGAACGAGCUUCUAACUCGAACUGGGGGCUUCUGCUCCGU